GUGAAAAAAAGAGAAGAAUGAUGACCUCGACAUCAACUCUCCCUGAAAUCAACAUCCAUCAUCCAAAUGCAAUUCAUCGAGUGUGCUCUAGACAACAUCAAAUCGAAGUAACAAACUCAACUAAUCAGAGUUUUAUGAAGUCGUCCCGAAAUCUGAUUCUCUGAUCCGGAUGUAUCUUGUGCGCGGACUUGGGAAGAGAAGAAUCAUGGAUGUAUGCGCCGAUAAUUUAAGCAAGCAGAAGAAAUGCAUACUGAAUCAAAGCGGAAAGAUGCUCUAUCACGGUGGCUCUUCGGUGAUUAUGCAGAUGCGUAUGAAGGAGUUUUGAUGCGAAAUCAGGAAGUCUCAAUGCAGAAUGCAGAAGUCUUUUGGUUGAAGAAUGAAGAAGUUUUGUCGAUGCAGAAUGAAGAAGUUUUAUGCAUAAUGAAUUUGAUGCAGAUUGAGGAAUUCCCCAAGUUGGAGAAGAUGAUGAAUCGAAGUGCAUAAUGAAAAAAACUCUCCAAUCUGAACCGCCAUGAGGAUGGUUAGAAAAUACCAUGCAAUGAUGAUUGAGUCAAAUGAUUUAUUGAUGAGCAAUAACAGGGUUUUGUUGGAGGGAGUUCAGAGUUAUGCUUCACAUAUUCUACUGCAUACUCAUUGACACAUUAAGUGGACAAAUCAUGGGUUUUGACAAUGGUUAUUUGUGGAAGCGUCUCUUGUUCACAAGCAAGUGGUUUUUACAAUAGACAUAUCAUCAACAUUCGAAGGGCCUGAAAUUCACCUUCAACGGUGGAAAGCAAAGGUAAAGCUUUUGCAAAUACAAGUGGAGUUGUGGAAAGGUUGGACGCAUGCUAGAGGGAUGAUAGCCUGAUGUUGGCUUCUAUAAAUAGUGUUAGAACUUAAUACAAUAAGUGGUUUUGUUAGUUUAGACAUGCUAAUUUAAGUUAGUUUAGUUAUUAGACUUGUAAAUGCAGGAAAAUUAUUAUGCUAUUGUUGAUCACGGAUAGGAAUUAAUAGCAAACUGUUUGAAAAUGGUAUGCAGGGCUUUUGUUGCUAAUUGAUUCAUGUUGUGGUUUUGUAGGAGAAAAAGAGGUAUUGCACUUAAGAACUUGGCUUGGCAUGGAAAUGGUGUGGCUUGCUCAUGAAGGACUGCAAUAUUGUUGGGCAUGGUUGAUAUUUUGGAAACCAAAUUGGAAAGUUAAGAUAGAAUGGGCCAUGUGAUGUAUGUAGUAUGCUAGCAAGUAUCAUUAGGAUU
Lathyrus oleraceus (garden pea) is the source of this 1231-nucleotide long non-coding RNA. RefSeq lists it as uncharacterized. Lineage: Eukaryota; Viridiplantae; Streptophyta; Magnoliopsida; Fabales; Fabaceae. The record is from RefSeq and is a predicted model, not a curated record. The transcript has 3 exons.